UGAGUAACCUGCCCCAAACUCUGGAAUAAGCACUGGAAACGGUGUCUAAUACCGGAUACGAGCUUCAGCCGCAUGGCUAGGAGUUGGAAAGAAUUUUCGGUUUGGGAUGGACUCGCGGCCUAUCAGCUAGUUGGUGAGGUAAUGGCUCACCAAGGCGACGACGGGUAGCCGGCCUGAGAGGGUGACCGGCCACACUGGGACUGAGACACGGCCCAGACUCCUACGGGGAGCAG
Molecule: ribosomal RNA, 233 nt
Filed under: uncultured bacterium
Lineage: Bacteria
Description: partial 16S ribosomal RNA
Rfam family: Bacterial small subunit ribosomal RNA
Source: RNAcentral